UGGGGAAUAUUGGACAAUGGGGGGAACCCUGAUCCAGCCAUGCCGCGUGUAUGAAGAAGGCCUUAUGGUUGUAAAGCACUUUAAGCGAGGAGGAGGGUACUGGUAUUAAUACUACCAGCUACUGGACGUUACUCGCAGAAUAAGCACCGGCUAACUCUGUGCCAGCAGCCGCGGUAAUACAGAGGGUGCGAGCGUUAAUCGGAAUUACUGGGCGUAAAGCGCGCGUAGGUGGUUCGUUAAGUUGAAUGUGAAAGCCCCGGGCUCAACCUGGGAACUGCAUCCAAAACUGGCGAGCUAGAGUAGGGCAGAGGGUGGUGGAAUUUCCUGUGUAGCGGUGAAAUGCGUAGAUAUAGGAAGGAACACCAGUGGCGAAGGCGACCACCUGGGCUCAUACUGACACUGAGGUGCGAAAGCGUGGGGAGCAAACAGG
RNAcentral lists this ribosomal RNA (430 nucleotides) under Pseudomonadota bacterium. RNAcentral's name for it is "Proteobacteria bacterium partial 16S ribosomal RNA". It matches the Rfam family "Bacterial small subunit ribosomal RNA", at positions 355 to 776 of the family's 1533-position model. The record is from RNAcentral. Lineage: Bacteria; Pseudomonadati; Pseudomonadota.